ACCCGUCACUGCGGUGACAAUGACGCCUGCGGUGAUAUAGUCAGGCAUGAGAGACACGAGUGGGGAGAAUACGUGAAUACGAGACUGAAAAAGCGAUGACUGGUUUCGGGGCAGGGGACGCGGUCAUAAGCUGCCAACGGCCUUUGUGAUGGUUAGAUCUCAGCCCUUCGUCCCUUAUCAUAGCCCACUCGCUGCUCCUCUCUCCUCCUCUCGCUAUCCUCCCAUUGCUUCCGUUUCUAAUCGCCUCCUCCUCUGUCUCUCUUAUCUCCAAUGGCGACCUUCGCUUCUUUGUCUCAGUAGACGGGCCAAAAAGGAAGAGCAAAGCCUCUUUUCUAUCGGCGGAACGAACGCUGCUCUUGUGAAUUCGUGGAGCCCCUCUGUUCUUCCAGGUUCAGUUGGACUCUCUUUCAAAUACUUGGACAGGUUAUAUAGCAAUAAGGCAGUAUCUUCUUGAACCAGAAGCAGGGCAGACAAGGUAAAAUAAAUGCAUGCCUAUAAUCAAGUGAUUGGUAGCAGGCAGCAAGAGCUGUAAAAACUAAGUACAAUUUGAAAAAUUUUAAGUGAGUAACUUGUUAGUUGCUUGUUAUAAAUUAGCAUAGUUUGCUCACUAUAUUAUGUUAGACCUGAUUUAUUGCCAAUAUUUACAUGAAACAAUUGGCUCUA
Musa acuminata AAA Group (dessert banana) is the source of this 663-nucleotide long non-coding RNA. RefSeq lists it as uncharacterized. The record is from RefSeq and is a predicted model, not a curated record. NCBI's taxonomy places the organism in Eukaryota, Viridiplantae, Streptophyta, Magnoliopsida, Zingiberales, Musaceae. The transcript is spliced from 2 exons.